UACGUAGGUGGCAAGCGUUGUUCGGAAUUAUUGGGCGUAAAGGGCGCGUAGGCGGUUCUGUAAGUCGGUUGUGAAAGCCCGGGGCUCAACCCCGGAGGGUCGACUGAUACUGCAGGACUAGAGUACGGAAGAGGUAGCUGGAAUUCCCGGUGUAGCGGUGAAAUGCGUAGAUAUCUGGAGGAACACCGGUGGCGAAGGCGGCAUCCUGGACCGACACUGACGCUGAGGAGCGAAAGCCAGGGGAGCAAACGGG
Molecule: ribosomal RNA, 253 nt
Filed under: uncultured bacterium
Lineage: Bacteria
Description: partial 16S ribosomal RNA
Rfam family: Bacterial small subunit ribosomal RNA
Source: RNAcentral